GGGGACCCGCACAAGCAGCGGAGCGUGUGGUUUAAUUCGUUGCUACACGAAGAACCUUACCUGGGUUUGACAUAUAAGUUGUAGGGAACUGAAAAGGGACCGACCCUUCGGGGAGCCUAUACAGGUGUUGCAUGGCUGUCGUCAGCUCGUGUCGUGAGAUGUUCGGUUAAGUCCGCUAACGAGCGCAACCCUCGUCGUAUGUUAUAUGUGUCAUACGAGACUGCCGGUAAAAAGCCGGAGGAAGGUGAGGAUGAUGUCAAGUCAGCAUGACCUUUAUAUCCAGGGCUACACACACGCUACAAUGGUCUGUACAAUGGGUAGCCAAGCCGCGAGGCGGAGCCAAUCCUGAAAGCAGGCCUCAGUUCAGAUUGCAGUCUGCAACUCGACUGCAUGAAGCCGGAGUUGCUAGUAACCGCAGGUCAGCAAUACUGCGGUGAAUACGUUCCCGGGUCUU
This 454-nucleotide ribosomal RNA is filed under the name uncultured Anaerolineaceae bacterium. RNAcentral describes it as "bacterial SSU rRNA". It matches the Rfam family "Bacterial small subunit ribosomal RNA", at positions 915 to 1382 of the family's 1533-position model. Lineage: Bacteria; Bacillati; Chloroflexota; Anaerolineae; Anaerolineales; Anaerolineaceae. The record is from RNAcentral.